GGGGGAGUCUCUACGUUUUAUGAAAAUGGAGUUUGUGAAAGACGCCGUCCAGACACUGAAAGGUGGGACAUUUGAUGUCAGUCCCACCUCACCCCGGGUAAAACCAGUCUGAUAGAUGUUCAAAAGCGCGCUUCAAGCUCUCAGACAGACUACCAUAAUCUGUGUAUGACAGACCAAGAUUCCAAGAUUCAUAACCUACCAGCAUAAAGAGUGCAUCUUGCCUGAUCCAGAUAGUGAAAUACUGCUGUGUUUCUUGAGAGAGACGCAUUCCUUCCAUUAUCUGCUGCACUGUGGUGUUAUUUCCAUGCUUCAGUUCAACAGAACG
Long non-coding RNA from Sus scrofa (pig), 325 nucleotides. RefSeq lists it as uncharacterized. NCBI's taxonomy places the organism in Eukaryota, Metazoa, Chordata, Mammalia, Artiodactyla, Suidae. The record is from RefSeq and is a predicted model, not a curated record.